Saimiri boliviensis boliviensis (Bolivian squirrel monkey) is the source of this 393-nucleotide non-coding RNA. The record is from RefSeq and is a predicted model, not a curated record. Lineage: Eukaryota; Metazoa; Chordata; Mammalia; Primates; Cebidae.
GGUUUCUGUGGUAUAUUCUGUCCUAUGUGUCUUGAGUGUGACAUCUCCAGGCAUUAUGGAGAGUGUCUUUGUUGGCCGCUGUUACCUGGGUCCACCUUUGCACUGAGAAUUGGCACCAGGGAGAGACAUAAAAUACAGGGCACACUGUGUGAAGACCGGCUGGUGGUGCACUGCUGCUGGCCUUUUUUCAUCCGCCAGGUGGCCCAGGAACUCAAGAUGAGGACCUCCCAUGUCUACGAAAUCCGUGCAGUCCCAAAGGACACCCUGGUUUGACAGAGCAAGAUAACUCCUCCUCCUUAUGCCCCAGCACCCUCUUCUCAAGCCUCUCAGUAGAACAAUUGCUUUUUUGUAAGUUUUUAUUGAAAUGAUAUGAAAAUAAAUGAUUCCCCCCUA